This 2932-nucleotide ribosomal RNA is filed under the name Yersinia pseudotuberculosis. RNAcentral's name for it is "23S ribosomal RNA". It matches the Rfam family "Bacterial large subunit ribosomal RNA". Lineage: Bacteria; Pseudomonadati; Pseudomonadota; Gammaproteobacteria; Enterobacterales; Yersiniaceae. The record is from RNAcentral.
GGGUUGUGAGGUUAAGCGACUAAGCGUACACGGUGGAUGCCUAGGCAGUCAGAGGCGAUGAAGGGCGUGCUAAUCUGCGAAAAGCGUCGGUAAGCUGAUAUGAAGCGUUAUAACCGACGAUACCCGAAUGGGGAAACCCAGUGCAAUACGUUGCACUAUCGUUAGAUGAAUACAUAGUCUAACGAGGCGAACCGGGGGAACUGAAACAUCUAAGUACCCCGAGGAAAAGAAAUCAACCGAGAUUCCCCCAGUAGCGGCGAGCGAACGGGGAGGAGCCCAGAGUCUGAAUCAGUUUGUGUGUUAGUGGAAGCGUCUGGAAAGUCGCACGGUACAGGGUGAUAGUCCCGUACACCAAAAUGCACAGGCUGUGAACUCGAUGAGUAGGGCGGGACACGUGACAUCCUGUCUGAAUAUGGGGGACCAUCCUCCAAGGCUAAAUACUCCUGACUGACCGAUAGUGAACCAGUACCGUGAGGGAAAGGCGAAAAGAACCCCGGCGAGGGGAGUGAAAUAGAACCUGAAACCGUGUACGUACAAGCAGUGGGAGCACCUUCGUGGUGUGACUGCGUACCUUUUGUAUAAUGGGUCAGCGACUUAUAUUUUGUAGCAAGGUUAACCGAAUAGGGGAGCCGUAGGGAAACCGAGUCUUAACUGGGCGUCUAGUUGCAAGGUAUAGACCCGAAACCCGGUGAUCUAGCCAUGGGCAGGUUGAAGGUUGGGUAACACUAACUGGAGGACCGAACCGACUAAUGUUGAAAAAUUAGCGGAUGACUUGUGGCUGGGGGUGAAAGGCCAAUCAAACCGGGAGAUAGCUGGUUCUCCCCGAAAGCUAUUUAGGUAGCGCCUCGUGAACUCAUCUUCGGGGGUAGAGCACUGUUUCGGCUAGGGGGCCAUCCCGGCUUACCAAACCGAUGCAAACUCCGAAUACCGAAGAAUGUUAUCACGGGAGACACACGGCGGGUGCUAACGUCCGUCGUGAAGAGGGAAACAACCCAGACCGCCAGCUAAGGUCCCAAAGUCAUGGUUAAGUGGGAAACGAUGUGGGAAGGCACAGACAGCCAGGAUGUUGGCUUAGAAGCAGCCAUCAUUUAAAGAAAGCGUAAUAGCUCACUGGUCGAGUCGGCCUGCGCGGAAGAUGUAACGGGGCUAAACCAUGCACCGAAGCUGCGGCAGCGACGUUUAGGCGUUGUUGGGUAGGGGAGCGUUCUGUAAGCCGUUGAAGGUGACCUGUGAGGGUUGCUGGAGGUAUCAGAAGUGCGAAUGCUGACAUAAGUAACGAUAAUGCGGGUGAAAAACCCGCACGCCGGAAGACCAAGGGUUCCUGUCCAACGUUAAUCGGGGCAGGGUGAGUCGACCCCUAAGGCGAGGCUGAAAAGCGUAGUCGAUGGGAAACAGGUUAAUAUUCCUGUACUUGGUGUUACUGCGAAGGGGGACGGAGAAGGCUAGGCUGGCCGGGCGACGGUUGUCCCGGUUUAAGCGUGUAGGGGGAGUGACCAGGUAAAUCCGGUUGCUUAUCAACCCUGAGGCGUGAUGACGAUGCACUACGGUGCAGAAGCAGUUGAUGCCAUGCUUCCAGGAAAAGCCUCUAAGCAUCAGGUAACAUUAAAUCGUACCCCAAACCGACACAGGUGGUCAGGUAGAGAAUACUCAGGCGCUUGAGAGAACUCGGGUGAAGGAACUAGGCAAAAUGGUGCCGUAACUUCGGGAGAAGGCACGCUGGCGUUAGGUGAAAGGACUAGCUCCUGGAGCUGAAGCCAGUCGCAGAUACCAGCUGGCUGCAACUGUUUAAUAAAAACACAGCACUGUGCAAACACGAAAGUGGACGUAUACGGUGUGACGCCUGCCCGGUGCUGGAAGGUUAAUUGAUGGGGUCAGCCGCAAGGCGAAGCUCUUGAUCGAAGCCCCAGUAAACGGCGGCCGUAACUAUAACGGUCCUAAGGUAGCGAAAUUCCUUGUCGGGUAAGUUCCGACCUGCACGAAUGGCGUAAUGAUGGCCAGGCUGUCUCCACCCGAGACUCAGUGAAAUUGAACUCGCUGUGAAGAUGCAGUGUACCCGCGGCAAGACGGAAAGACCCCGUGAACCUUUACUAUAGCUUGACACUGAACAUUGAGCCUUGAUGUGUAGGAUAGGUGGGAGGCAUUGAAGUGUGGACGCCAGUCUGCAUGGAGCCAACCUUGAAAUACCACCCUUUAAUGUUUGAUGUUCUAACUCGGCCCCAUGAUCUGGGGUGAGGACAGUGUCUGGUGGGUAGUUUGACUGGGGCGGUCUCCUCCCAAAGAGUAACGGAGGAGCACGAAGGUUAGCUAAUCACGGUCGGACAUCGUGAGGUUAGUGCAAAGGCAUAAGCUAGCUUGACUGCGAGAGUGACGGCUCGAGCAGGUACGAAAGUAGGUCUUAGUGAUCCGGUGGUUCUGAAUGGAAGGGCCAUCGCUCAACGGAUAAAAGGUACUCCGGGGAUAACAGGCUGAUACCGCCCAAGAGUUCAUAUCGACGGCGGUGUUUGGCACCUCGAUGUCGGCUCAUCACAUCCUGGGGCUGAAGUAGGUCCCAAGGGUAUGGCUGUUCGCCAUUUAAAGUGGUACGCGAGCUGGGUUUAGAACGUCGUGAGACAGUUCGGUCCCUAUCUGCCGUGGGCGUUGGAAGAUUGAGAGGGGCUGCUCCUAGUACGAGAGGACCGGAGUGGACGAAUCACUGGUGUUCGGGUUGUCAUGCCAAUGGCAUUGCCCGGUAGCUAAAUUCGGAAGAGAUAACCGCUGAAAGCAUCUAAGCGGGAAACUUGCCUCGAGAUGAGUCUUCCCUGGGGCUUAAAGCCCCCUGAAGGAACGUUAAAGACUAUGACGUUGAUAGGCUGGGUGUGUAAGUGCAGCGAUGUAUUGAGCUAACCAGUACUAAUGAUCCGUGAGGCUUAACCUUACAACACCGAAGGUGUUU